RNAcentral lists this long non-coding RNA (383 nucleotides) under Gossypium barbadense (sea-island cotton). RNAcentral's name for it is "long non-coding RNA (GBAR_LNC020516)". Lineage: Eukaryota; Viridiplantae; Streptophyta; Magnoliopsida; Malvales; Malvaceae. The record is from RNAcentral.
GGGGCAUUUCCAAUUGGCUUUGCAGUUUCCUCGAAUUUCUCUUUGGGUUUUCUGGCCAAAUCCUCCAUUUGUUGUUGGCUCUCGCUCGAUCUUUCUUGGGUUUCUUCUUCUCGGUAACUAUCACCCUUUGAAACAAUAAUAAUAGAAUUCAUUAAUGUCGAAAUAAUUGAAAUUUACAUUGGGAAGGAUGAUAAGAGGAUCAUAAAUGGUUAAAUACCUGUGUUUCAGUAGCUCUCUUAGCUUCUAAUUCUCUCGCUGCCUCUUCCUUUUUCCUGGCUGUAUACUCUUUCAGAGUCUCGCCAGCAGCUGAAGCAGCUUCCUUGGCCGCCCUUAUUGGCUUGGCAGCAAGCUCCAUUGAUUUUUUACCAGCAUACUCCCCUGCU